RNAcentral lists this non-coding RNA (734 nucleotides) under Bos taurus (domestic cattle). Lineage: Eukaryota; Metazoa; Chordata; Mammalia; Artiodactyla; Bovidae. The record is from RNAcentral.
AUUUAUUGGAUUCCUCGGGGGCGCAGGGGGCAGGCUCGUCACUGCGGAGGAUCCUGGCUGGGCCGGCCUGGGAGAGGCAGAGUCUGGGCAGCAGCUGACACAAGACCAGUAGUGAGAGGUGCCCGGCCCUCGGCCACGAGGAGGGAGACGGUGGGGGUGGAGCAGGCCUGACCCAGAGGGAGGUGCAGGCCGAGGAGAAGGCCUGUCACUCUUCAACACGCUUGGCCAGGUGUGUGGGCUGCCCCUGCUCCCCCCCUGAAGCCCCAGGGGGGCCCUCCUGCAGGGGGGGCCCUGAACACCCCACGGGGAGUCUCAGCAUCCAUCUAUCUGGCAGCUGGGAGCUCCGUUACCUGCACAAGGCGUGGUGGGAGCCAGAUGUCCGAUGUCCCGGAAUCCAGAGACGCGGGACGGAGCCGGCUGGCCCGAGGAACAGAAGCAGAUCCGCCAGAACGGCCAACAGUCCGGAGGACAAGCGCUGCUCACCUGAGCCUCCCUAAAGACCCCUACCCACGGUGCUGAUGGGCAGUGCCGGGGGCGCGGAGAACAGCGGGGUCCGGGAUGAAGCGGCCUUUCCUCUGGGUGGGAAGUUCCCGGGCUCUGCAGCACCCAACGCCGCCGCCCCAGGCCGCAGGGGCAUCGCUUCCCCGCGUCCCAGCGCCUCCGUGGUGAGUCGAGCCGCAGCGCUCUGGGUCGGUGAAGGUGGCUCAGCGCGGGCGCUCCAGUCCCGACGUUCC